AUUGAACGCUGGCGGCAUGCUUUACACAUGCAAGUCGAACGGCAGCACGGGCUUCGGCCUGGUGGCGAGUGGCGAACGGGUGAGUAAUGCAUCGGAACGUGCCCAUGUUGUGGGGGAUAACUACGCGAAAGCGUGGCUAAUACCGCAUACGCCCUGAGGGGGAAAGCGGGGGAUUCUUCGGAACCUCGCGCAAUUGGAGCGGCCGAUGUCAGAUUAGCUUGUUGGUGAGGUAAAGGCUCACCAAGGCGACGAUCUGUAGCGGGUCUGAGAGGAUGAUCCGCCACACUGGGACUGAGACACGGCCCAGACUCCUACGGGAGGCAGCAGUGGGGAAUUUUGGACAAUGGGGGCGAACCCUGAUCCAGCCAUGCCGCGUGAGUGAAGAAGGCCU
RNAcentral lists this ribosomal RNA (391 nucleotides) under uncultured bacterium. RNAcentral describes it as "bacterial SSU rRNA". It matches the Rfam family "Bacterial small subunit ribosomal RNA", at positions 30 to 417 of the family's 1533-position model. The record is from RNAcentral.